RNAcentral lists this ribosomal RNA (465 nucleotides) under uncultured bacterium. RNAcentral's name for it is "partial 16S ribosomal RNA". It matches the Rfam family "Bacterial small subunit ribosomal RNA", at positions 28 to 507 of the family's 1533-position model. The record is from RNAcentral.
GACGAACGCUGGCGGCGUGCUUAACACAUGCAAGUCGAACGGAAAGGCCCCUUUGGGGGUACUCGAGUGGCGAACGGGUGCGUAACACGUGAGUAACCUGCCCUUGACUUCGGGAUAACUUCAGGAAACUGGGGCUAAUACCGGCUAGGAAUCCUUGCUGCAUGGUGGGGGUUGGAAAGCUUCGGCGGUUUUGGAUGGACUCGCGGCUUAUCAGCUUGUUGGUGGGGUAGUGGCUUACCAAGGCUUUGACGGGUAGCCGGCCUGAGAGGGCGACCGGCCACAUUGGGACUGAGAUACGGCCCAGACUCCUACGGGAGGCAGCAGUGGGGAAUAUUGCACAAUGGGCGGAAGCCUGAUGCAGCAACGCCGCGUGCGGGAUGACGGCCUUCGGGUUGUAAACCGCUUUCAGCAGGGGCGAAGCUUGUGGUGACGGUACCUGCAGAAGAAGCACCGGCUAACUACGUG